This 750-nucleotide long non-coding RNA is filed under the name Homo sapiens (human). RNAcentral describes it as "HSALNT0031965". The record is from RNAcentral. Lineage: Eukaryota; Metazoa; Chordata; Mammalia; Primates; Hominidae.
CACCUAAGCAGCUCCCUAUUUGCGUGUAACUGCUUCCUCCAGCCACAUGGUAAUGCCUUGUUUAUGACCUGGUAGUCUAAAGAGCAAGGUGUUUUAGAGUAAGACAUAUGUGGAAGCUACCUCAGAUGUUAUCAGAUUCUUCUGUCCUUCCUUCGACCCUUUCAAAAAGCACAUGAGGAAACUGAGGUCCAUAAAAGCCAUUGGAAUGGCAAAGGGAGAGAGAAGGUGGAAUCCGCUUUUAUUCAAUUCUGCAUUAAAUAAUGUCCUUAAUUACUAAAGUGAAGUUCUGCUAUGUCUGAUGGGGAAGAGGCAUCUUGGCCAUCAUACAGACACAGGAAGGACCUGGAAUCUUGAUUAUUGCCCACAAGGGAGGAUACUCUCUUCUAUUUGCAGUGUGCAGAAAUAUCCAUGUCAAUGAGGAUGACAUUGAUCCCCAAUCCCAGUAGAAGCAUUCAAGUCUAAUCACAUUUAUGAGGGAGUAAAAAUAACAAAAGCAGAUUCAUAACACUGGUGUGCAUCACAUCAAAGGAGAAGAGGUGGUGGUAAGGUAAGCUUGCUUGUCCCAUGCCUGAUGCCGGGCCAUUCACUCCAGUGUAAGAACACUCAACUUGUGAACAUUGAGAUACAUUGUAUGUUUCUCUCCAUACUCUAACGUUUCACACCACACAGCAACACAACUCUUCCACCAUGGUUAUUCAGGGAACUUCCUAAGUCAGUGUCUCCUCCACCACUUCCUUUUAUCCACCUCAG